Molecule: long non-coding RNA, 1561 nt
Organism: Carassius auratus (goldfish)
Lineage: Eukaryota; Metazoa; Chordata; Actinopteri; Cypriniformes; Cyprinidae
Exons: 3
Source: RefSeq, a predicted model, not a curated record
GAGGGCCCAGAACCAGAGGGCCAGACAGGGGCCCGUGUAGUGUGGGUCUGUGACGGAAAGUGCCUGCUCGUUUCAGGAUUUGACAGCCGCAGUGAAAGGCAACUAAUGUGUCUCCCUCAACCCUUGUACCAUUCUAUGAUCCCGACACCAGUGUCCUCAUCCUCAUUGGGAAGUUGCUCAGUGCCAUGGUGGCGAAGCUGGGAAACAGGGAAGAGCCUCUGCCAAAGGAGUCAUAUGAGGGUGUGGAAUGAAGACGAGUGGGUGAGUAAAGAACUGACCCCACAAACACAUGGUUCAUGACACACUGUAAACCAUCUAAAUAAUGUAUGUGUGUGUGUUUCAAAAUGACUAACACACAAGCCUUGCCUCGCGGUCCAGUCAGGGUGCCAGCAGCAGACAUGGGACGUGCCUGCUGUAUUUGAAUCUUGCCAUUCCAGGGUGCCAAUGUUCCUCUGAACCUCCGAAACGCUCUUCAUCCCAUCAGCUUCAGCUGAUUUACUCUCACACAUUCCUCUAUCCAUCUUCUAGAUAAUCCACCCAUCCCGUCAUCUCUCUGCGUUGGUUUAACUGGAGCAUUAGUAUCUGUUAUUAUUCAUUCUUCAAAGAUUAACACAUUCCUAUACAUAGCUCAGACAUUCAUCUCAAAUAUAUGAGGCACAUUUACAGUAGGACAGUGUUAAUGAUGGGCAUCAGUAUUGUACUGCUUGCUGUAAUUGACUGUAUAAUGACUGCAUGCAGCACAUGCCUUCCUCAGUCUGUAACACAAAACCUCUCUAGAUAUUUUCAUUGGUAAAACAAAGUGCAUUUAAUACUAUCAUUUGACUGUUAACAUGGUUAAAUGUAGGUUUUACAUCGAUAUUGUGGUAAUUUGUUGCAUUAAAUGUCACCACCUCUAGGUUCUUAGCAGUGUUAGUUAUCCUUUAAUAUGUCUUGAGCAAAAAAUGUCUAUGUACUUCUAAAUGAAUCUUCUGGAGACUGUUAAAAACACUCAUUUUUAAUCUGGAAAAUACUCCUUUUUAGUAUAUUUCCUUCUGCUCAGUCUCAUCAACAGUAUUAACACAAAUCUACUUCAUACAAGGGAAUUUUCUCCAAUAAUCAGAUCUAUCACAAGGCAAUACUAAUUUAGUUUAUUAUAUUUUUUUAACAGAACAUGUUUACAUUAUGCCAGGUAAGGAAUCGUCCAUGUUAUGACACUUGUACCAUGUGAUGUCCUGUGCUAGAUAUGUGAUCAUGUAAUCACACAUAAAUGGUAGAUGUUAAUAUAUACAUGCUAAUGAUCUAAAGUGUUUUUUAAAUGCAAGCUCAUUUUGUUACCAAUCUGAUGUUUUUGGGAUGUUUUUUCACAGCACUUGUAAUCGGGUUCAUUUUAAUACUUUAUAGGCAAUGAUUUUUUUCACUCCUCUUUUGAGCGGAAUCAGUCUUGUGGGAACACGUUGCCUCAAAAUAAAACCUUACAAAAAUAUAUAAAUAUAAAAAAAAUAAAAAGAGCAAAGAAAUAUGGAAUUGAGUGUUGUAUUUAUUGAUGAACAAUUAUUUUGUAACUGUUGCAAUUACAAGUGUU